Molecule: ribosomal RNA, 253 nt
Filed under: uncultured bacterium
Lineage: Bacteria
Description: partial 16S ribosomal RNA
Rfam family: Bacterial small subunit ribosomal RNA
Source: RNAcentral
UACGGAGGACCCAAGCGUUAUCCGGAAUCAUUGGGUUUAAAGGGUCCGUAGGCGGUUUGGUAAGUCAGUGGUGAAAGCCCAUCGCUCAACGGUGGAACGGCCAUUGAUACUGCCAGACUUGAAUUAUUAGGAAGUAACUAGAAUGUGUAGUGUAGCGGUGAAAUGCUUAGAGAUUACAUGGAAUACCAAUUGCGAAGGCAGGUUACUACUAAUGGAUUGACGCUGAUGGACGAAAGCGUGGGUAGCGAACAGG